GCCUACGGGAGGCAGCAGUAGGGAAUUUUGCGCAAUGGGCGAAAGCCUGACGCAGCAACACCGCGUGAAUGUUAAGCCCUUCGGGGUGUAAAGUUCUGUCAAUAGGGACGAAUUUUGACUGUACCUAUAAAGGAAGCACCGGCUAACUCCGUGCCAGCAGCCGCGGUAAUACGUAGGGGGCAAGCGUUAUCCGGAUUUACUGGGUGUAAAGGGAGCGUAGGCGGCAAGGUAAGCCAGAAGUGAAAGCCCGCGGCUCAACUGCGGGACUGCUUUUGGAACUAUCUAGCUAGAUUGCAGGAGAGGUA
RNAcentral lists this ribosomal RNA (305 nucleotides) under uncultured bacterium. RNAcentral describes it as "bacterial SSU rRNA". It matches the Rfam family "Bacterial small subunit ribosomal RNA", at positions 337 to 659 of the family's 1533-position model. The record is from RNAcentral.